CCUACGGGUGGCAGCAGUGGGGAAUAUUGCACAAUGGGGGAAACCCUGAUGCAGCGAUGCCGCGUGGAGGAAGAAGGUUUUCGGAUUGUAAACUCCUUUUAUCAUGGACGAUAAGUACGGUACCUGAAGAAAAUGCUCCGGCUAACUACGUUCCAGCAGCCGCGGUAAUACGUAGGGAGCGAGCGUUGUCCGGAAUUACUGGGUGUUAAGGGAGCGUAGGCGGGACGGCAAGUCAGAUGUGAAAACUGUGGGCUCAACCUUCAGACUGCAUUUGAAACUGGUGGUCUUGAGUGAAGUAGAGGUAGGCGGAAUGCCUGGUGUAGCGGUGAAAUGCGUAGAUAUUAGGAAGAACAUCGGUGGCGAAGGCGGCUUACUAAGCUUUUACUGACGCUGAGGCUCGAAAGCGUGGGGAGCAAACAGGAUUAGAUACCCCUGUAGUC
Molecule: ribosomal RNA, 440 nt
Filed under: uncultured bacterium
Lineage: Bacteria
Description: partial 16S ribosomal RNA
Rfam family: Bacterial small subunit ribosomal RNA
Source: RNAcentral